This 90-nucleotide transfer RNA is filed under the name Patescibacteria group bacterium. RNAcentral describes it as "tRNA-OTHER". It matches the Rfam family "tRNA". Rfam says of the family: Transfer RNA (tRNA) molecules are approximately 80 nucleotides in length. The record is from RNAcentral.
GCCCACGUAGCUCACUGUAGAGCGCUUGUCGUUGAUGAUUUGCUCCCUUUGCGACAAGUAGUCAUCAGUUCAAUUCUGAUCGCGUGGGCU